GAUCCAUUAGCUCAGUUGGUAGAGCACCUGACUUUUAAUCAGGGUGUCCGGGGUUCGAGUCCCCGAUGGAUCACCA
RNAcentral lists this transfer RNA (76 nucleotides) under Bacillota bacterium. Its description in RNAcentral is "Firmicutes bacterium tRNA-Lys". It matches the Rfam family "tRNA". From Rfam's summary of the family: Transfer RNA (tRNA) molecules are approximately 80 nucleotides in length. Their secondary structure includes four short double-helical elements and three loops (D, anti-codon, and T loops). Further hydrogen bonds mediate the characteristic L-shaped molecular structure. tRNAs have two regions of fundamental functional importance: the anti-codon, which is responsible for specific mRNA codon recognition, and the 3' end, to which the tRNAs corresponding amino acid is attached (by aminoacyl-tRNA synthetases). tRNAs cope with the degeneracy of the genetic code in two manners: having more than one tRNA (with a specific anti-codon) for a particular amino acid; and 'wobble' base-pairing, i.e. permitting non-standard base-pairing at the 3rd anti-codon position. RNAcentral also lists the same sequence under 1 other name. The record is from RNAcentral. Lineage: Bacteria; Bacillati; Bacillota.